GUCUUGUGGCGUUUUUGAGGUCAUUUAUUCAUUAUUUCGGCGGUAUCAAUUAAGAGAAUCCACAAAAAUAAAUAAACAAACUCAUUUUGGUUAUCGUAAAUUCUUACGUUUGCUUCUGGUUGGACAUGCGCACAUUUAUACUUUACGACUUACUAGACUGUGUGUGUGUGUGUGUGUGUGUUUGUUUAAUUUUUUUUUUGUCUUUCUUUUUGACAAAAUGUAUCAAUUUAUUGCAUUCGAACAGUGAGUAAAUGAUUUUAAGUUCAUGAUAAAAUGUGAUGAUUUCAGGUAUGUCGGUUCAUAAAGACGCCUGAUGUCGGGACGGUGAAGGCACGUCUACAAGAUAAUGUGGUGUAAACAGAUGGUAAACGUAAUUUCCGGACACAGAUGCGACUUGCAAGGGUCAAAAUCUUUAUAUUAUGCCGACUUGUAAAAUGUCCAAACAGCUCCAACUGCUACCUAAGAUGAUAACACGGACGAUAAAGGAAUGAAGGGUAUGUCUGCUUCACUACGAUUGACAAAACUUGCACAUCUACUUUCAAGCUGGUGAAAGCACGACUUCAAGAUGUAAACUAAAAAAGAAGAUGGUAAUUUCCGGCCACAAGUGUCAAAAUCUUAAAAUUAGGGUCGAAGAGAAAUAUACGUCUCUCGCGGUAAACAGAAUACAGCACGGCAUUUUGCUUCAUAUACGUGUUAUUCAAAAGACAACAACAGUUUAAAGCCAAAGGAACCCAAUCUAACAAAUUGUGUCAGUCUUUGGACAUUGGAAAUUCUCCCCUUUGCUGAUGAAAUACCAUCUAUCAUUUAAUGGAUAUUUAACUAGAACAGAACAGAACAGAACAGAACAGAACGGACCAGAACAGAACUCUCAGUCAGCAUUUACAUCUUUGUAAACGGCAUCGAUAUUGCCAUUUAAUUUAUCAUAUAUUUAUCGAUUUAUAACUGGUAUUCUGCGGACUCCGUAAUUGAUACAUUGCCAUUUUCUUGACAAAAUAUUGAUAAAUCAGUUGAUAGACCGAUACCGAAGUUGGAUUUUGCUGUUAUCCGAAUUCAGAAAGCAGCAUAAUACAAUAAGUACAAUGAUUAUCAAGAUUUAUAAAAAAUGUUUCACCUAGAGUUAUUUUGACAUAGGAAAUUCUACACGUCUGACAAACCGGAAGUAAAAGCAUGACGUCAUUUAACCGGAAAUAUAACACAAAACCUGGACUCGGCAUAUGGAUUCUCCUUUUCGUUUGCCUAAUUUUCUUAAAAUAUCUAUGGGUUUGAAAACUUAAGAUUUUCUCAAUUCGAGCAAACAACAACAACAACUACAAAACCACCAUAAUGUAAAUUCUGUAUGUUUUGUGCAAAUUUGUCAAGAGGAUACAUGUAUAUAAAUGUGUACAUGAUAUUUUAAAUUAGUUGUCAAGAAUAUUAUUUUACAUUUGUGAUAUAAUAGAUGAAUCUAAUAUAAUGAAGUUAUACAUA
Mercenaria mercenaria is the source of this 1467-nucleotide long non-coding RNA. RefSeq lists it as uncharacterized. The record is from RefSeq and is a predicted model, not a curated record. The transcript has 4 exons. Lineage: Eukaryota; Metazoa; Mollusca; Bivalvia; Venerida; Veneridae.